RNAcentral lists this ribosomal RNA (218 nucleotides) under uncultured Glomeromycotina. RNAcentral describes it as "partial large subunit ribosomal RNA". The record is from RNAcentral. Lineage: Eukaryota; Fungi; Glomeromycota.
CAGUCAUGCCGGUGAGAAUCAACUUUAGGGAAGGGGGAUUUUUUUGAACCUAACCUUGAAGUGCACUUCUUCGCUUGGCAGGUUAGCGUCGAUUUUGAACGUCAUAAAAUGAUUGGGGGAAGGUAGCUCUUUCGGGAGUGUUAUAGCCCUUAAUUAAUGUGAUAUUUGGGAUCGAGGAUUGCAACGGAUACCUUUUUAGGCUAGCCGCCUGGCCUCUG